Molecule: ribosomal RNA, 301 nt
Filed under: uncultured bacterium
Lineage: Bacteria
Description: partial 16S ribosomal RNA
Rfam family: Bacterial small subunit ribosomal RNA
Source: RNAcentral
CAGCAGCCGCGGUAAUACGGAGGGGGCUAGCGUUGUUCGGAAUUACUGGGCGUAAAGCGCACGUAGGCGGCUUGGUAAGUUAGAGGUGAAAGCCCGGAGCUCAACUCCGGAAUUGCCUUUAAGACUGCCGAGCUAGUAGGUGAGAGAGGUAAGUGGAAUUCCGAGCGUAGAGGUGAAAUUCGUAGAUAUUCGGAAGAACACCAGUGGCGAAGGCGGCUUACUGGCUCAUUCUAGACGCUGAGGUGCGAAAGCGUGGGGAGCAAACAGGAUUAGAUACCCCUGUAGUCCCUGUCUCUUAUAC